RNAcentral lists this ribosomal RNA (550 nucleotides) under Fusarium oxysporum. RNAcentral's name for it is "eukaryotic LSU rRNA". The stretch from base 193 to 346 matches the Rfam family "5.8S ribosomal RNA". Lineage: Eukaryota; Fungi; Ascomycota; Sordariomycetes; Hypocreales; Nectriaceae. The record is from RNAcentral.
UCGUAACAAGGUCUCCGUUGGUGAACCAGCGGAGGGAUCAUUACCGAGUUUACAACUCCCAAACCCCUGUGAACAUACCACUUGUUGCCUCGGCGGAUCAGCCCGCUCCCGGUAAAACGGGACGGCCCGCCAGAGGACCCCUAAAACUCUGUUUCUAUAUGUAACUUCUGAGUAAAACCAUAAAUAAAUCAAAACUUUCAACAACGGAUCUCUUGGUUCUGGCAUCGAUGAAGAACGCAGCAAAAUGCGAUAAGUAAUGUGAAUUGCAGAAUUCAGUGAAUCAUCGAAUCUUUGAACGCACAUUGCGCCCGCCAGUAUUCUGGCGGGCAUGCCUGUUCGAGCGUCAUUUCAACCCUCAAGCACAGCUUGGUGUUGGGACUCGCGUUAAUUCGCGUUCCUCAAAUUGAUUGGCGGUCACGUCGAGCUUCCAUAGCGUAGUAGUAAAACCCUCGUUACUGGUAAUCGUCGCGGCCACGCCGUUAAACCCCAACUUCUGAAUGUUGACCUCGGAUCAGGUAGGAAUACCCGCUGAACUUAAGCAUAUCAAUAA